GGCUCGGCCCUUUGCCGAGUUCCGUCAUCGCCUGGGGUCAUUACCGACCUGUUCCCUCAGAAAUCUGGCCUCUCUGCGGACCCACUUUCGGUUCCUGGCUGCCAGGGGAGAAGGCUAGGCUUUGUCUCUCCCUUCCCCACUGGGACCCGGGCCUCAGCGCGGCUUGCCAAGUCUCGGGAUGCGGAAGAAGAUCCACCUCCGCCCCAGCGUGUAAAGAUCCGGGUGUGUGUGCCUAUGGCAGCCGAAGGGUGGGUCUCAGGCUCCAAACAUAGGAGGAAGGAAGUGGAAGCGUGUGCUUGGAUGCGGGACUGGUCUGGAGAUCCAGGCCUUCUGAGUUCCUGGGUCUGGGGAGAGGCUGGUGCAUCCAGAUCUCACAAGGAGCUCCAGUUCCCUAGGCCUAAUCCAGCGCCGUCGCCUGCUGGUCGGAUCUCGAUUUCCUAG
Molecule: long non-coding RNA, 441 nt
Filed under: Urocitellus parryii (Arctic ground squirrel)
Lineage: Eukaryota; Metazoa; Chordata; Mammalia; Rodentia; Sciuridae
Description: lncRNA (ENSUPAG00010010333.1)
Source: RNAcentral